CUCCUACGGGGGGCAGCAGUGGGGAAUAUUGGACAAUGGGGGGAACCCUGAUCCAGCGACGCCGCGUGAGUGAAGAAGUAUUUCGGUAUGUAAAGCUCUAUCAGCAGGGAAGAAAGAAAUGACGGUACAUGAAUAAGAAGCCCCGGCUAACUACGUGCCAGCAGCCGCGGUAAUACGUAGGGGGCAAGCGUUAUCAGGAUUUACUGGGUGUAAAGGGAGCGUAGACGGCGGUGGAAGUCUGGGGUGAAAGGCAGGGGACCAACCCCGGGGAGGCUCGGGAAACUGUAGUGCUGGAGUGCAG
Molecule: ribosomal RNA, 301 nt
Filed under: uncultured bacterium
Lineage: Bacteria
Description: bacterial SSU rRNA
Rfam family: Bacterial small subunit ribosomal RNA
Source: RNAcentral